Molecule: long non-coding RNA, 596 nt
Organism: Cyprinus carpio (common carp)
Lineage: Eukaryota; Metazoa; Chordata; Actinopteri; Cypriniformes; Cyprinidae
Exons: 2
Source: RefSeq, a predicted model, not a curated record
CGAACAGAGGAAGUGAACUCUGGUGAUUUUACAACUGUUAAAAUGCUAAUUCCGCUUCGAAAGAUGACAAACUUAACAAAGGAGUGACAUAAAUCCAAAAAAAGACAGUGCAGCCCAGGGAAAAGUAUCCAAGUGGACUAAAUCUACUCGGUGUGCUGUCUUCUACUCGGUGGUGCGCUUACUAUUUUAAAACACAGCUCUAAAUGCAGAAACAAAUUCUCCAACGAUGACAUAGCCUACACUUAGUUCAGAAUAGCUCUGCGAUAUGAAAAUAUUAUUUCUGUAAGGCAACAGCAAUUAUUUGUUUCCCCCAAAGGAUACCAGCCAUGAGACCAGUGCUGAGCGCUGGCAAACUGGGCACUUAGAAACAUCAACAUCCCCAUCACCACAAACAGCCUGCAGAUGUGCACCAUAACUGAGGGAAGAGAACAGAUUGAUGAGACAAACGGAGAGUAAGUGAGGGGCCAGUAACAACACUGACACGUUUAACAGUCAGGUCUAGGUUUACCAGCCUAACAAUUUCAGGAAAAAUGUUUGACUGAAAAGUAUGUUGGCAAUGAUGUUUAAGAGACAAUAAAGCACAAUGGAGACCGUAA